UGUGAGAGCAAGAGCCCGGAGAUGGAUUCUGAGACACGAAUCCAGGCCCUACGGGGUGCAGCAGGCGCGAAAACUUUACAAUGCUGGCAACAGCGAUAAGGGAACCUCGAGUGCCAGGUUACAAAUCUGGCUGUCGAGAUGCCUAAAAAGCAUUUCAUAGCAAGGGCCGGGCAAGACCGGUGCCAGCCGCCGCGGUAAUACCGGCGGCUCGAGUGGUGGCCACUAUUACUGGGCUUAAAGCGUUCGUAGCUGGGUUGUUAAGUCUCUUGGGAAAUCCACCGGCUCAACCGAUGGGCGACCAGGGGAAACUGGCAUUCUAGGGACCGGGAGAGGUGAGAGGUACUCCAGGGGUAGGAGUGAAAUCCUGUAAUCCUUGGGGGACCACCGAUGGCGAAGGCAUCUCACCAGAACGGCUCCGACAGUGAGGAACGAAAGCUGGGGGAGCAAACCGGAUUAGAUACCCGGGUAGUCCCAGCUGUAAACGAUGCGCGUUAGGUGUAUCGGUGACCACGAGUUACCGAGGUGCCGAAGGGAAACCGUGAAAC
This 545-nucleotide ribosomal RNA is filed under the name uncultured archaeon. Its description in RNAcentral is "bacterial SSU rRNA". It matches the Rfam family "Archaeal small subunit ribosomal RNA", at positions 275 to 820 of the family's 1478-position model. The record is from RNAcentral.